CGGGCAGUAGCUCAGUGGUAGAGCUACCGCUUGGUAAGCGGGAAGACCCGGCUUCGAUUCCCGGCUGCUUAC
Transfer RNA from Toxocara canis (dog roundworm), 72 nucleotides. It matches the Rfam family "tRNA". Rfam says of the family: Transfer RNA (tRNA) molecules are approximately 80 nucleotides in length. Lineage: Eukaryota; Metazoa; Nematoda; Chromadorea; Rhabditida; Toxocaridae. The record is from Rfam.